CUCAUAUUAGUCAGGGGCAUAAAGCAAUAAAAGAGAAUUCGAAAUUGUGACUUCCCAGCUCUGAUGCGCAAACCUUGCACCUGACAUAGGAGGAAUCAGCAGGAGCAGCCUACCUGCCCGACGACGAUUCAUCCGUGGGAGAGAUUCUGGGGGUUUCCAUAACACCGCGUUCGUGUGUACAGGGUGGCACUCAUUGCCAUUGUUUAAUAAUAAACUGUUGGUGCGUUCGUCUCUGGCACCAGGCUGUGACCGCCUUGAGUGCAAGAAGUGUCCUAUCCGGCCUGCCAGCUGUCCUUAUAGGCAGCGUGGGGAAUGACAUGCGGGAGGUGCUCAAAUAUUAGCAACAAAAAGUGUAUUGGGGGGAAAAGUGUAUUGAAUACAGUUGCUUAAACAGGUCCAGGAAAUAGCACCUCCUUCCUUAAAUGAAAAUAGUGCACUGAAACACACUGCAGUUAAAAGUGUUUUAACGGUGAAGAAAUGAUUUAACUUUAAAAUAGUCAACCAAACAUUCCUAGUGAGAUAUAUUAUUUCAAGAGAAAAUAAAAAUUUAGGCCUUUUUCACA
Molecule: long non-coding RNA, 563 nt
Organism: Neofelis nebulosa (Clouded leopard)
Lineage: Eukaryota; Metazoa; Chordata; Mammalia; Carnivora; Felidae
Exons: 2
Source: RefSeq, a predicted model, not a curated record